UGAUUUCUGUUUUCCCUACGUUGAUGAC
Molecule: small RNA, 28 nt
Filed under: Bombyx mori (domestic silkworm)
Lineage: Eukaryota; Metazoa; Arthropoda; Insecta; Lepidoptera; Bombycidae
Description: ovarian small RNA-33199
Source: RNAcentral